Non-coding RNA from Pelobates cultripes (western spadefoot toad), 310 nucleotides. Lineage: Eukaryota; Metazoa; Chordata; Amphibia; Anura; Pelobatidae. The record is from the annotation of a GenBank genome assembly.
UUUGGGUAGCCCCAAAAAUAUUGGGACAUAUAAAAAAAAGACAAUUCUGUUCCGCAGAGUAGCUGUUGCGCAGGAACUUUGUUGACUCUAGAGAACCUCUGGCAAAUUGCACAUCCCCGUGGCGGCGACUUUGCAUGCAGAUGUCAUCCAUAUCAACUUUCGAUGCCAGUUUCUGCUCCUACCUUGUUGACCAUGGGUAACGGGGAAUCAGUGUUCCAUUCCAUACAGGGACCUUGAAAAAUGGCUAACACAUGCAAGGAAGGCAGCAGGCGCGCAAAUGACCCACUCCCGACGCGGGAAGGUAGUGAUG